GAAUAAUGCCAGCUGCCGGCUGUCUGUAGAAGACUGAAUGAUCACAUUUGCUCUUCUUCAACCCAAACUCCUGAGCUACUUCACUGAACUUGCCAAACCAGGCACGGGGACUCUGUUUUAGACCAUACAGAGAUUUCUUCAGAUGACAGACUUUCCCAUACUCCCCCUGAGCAACAAAUCCAGGUGGUUGCUCCAUAUACACCUCUUCCUGGAGAUCACCAUGAAGGAAUGCAUUCUUGAUAUCCAAUUGGUGUAAGGGCCAAUCUUGGGAUGCAGCAAUGGAUAUAAAUAGGCGGACAGAGGUAAGUUUGGCAACCGGAGAGAAGGUAUCCGAAUAAUCCACUCCAUAAGUCUGAGCAAAUCCUUUUGCAACAAGUCUGGCUUUAAGUCUUGCUACAGAACCAUCUGGAUUGACCUUGACAGCAAAGACCCAUUUGCAUCCCACAGCUUUCUUGCCUUUAGGCAGAUCUACCAACUCCCAUGUGUGAUUUUCAUCUAGAGCGUUUAUCUCCUCAAACAUUGCAUUCUUCCAACCAGGAUGACUCAAGGCUUCUUUUACUGUUCUAGGCACAGAGAUUGAAUCUAAAGAGGUAAUUAAAGAACAAGACGCAGGAGACAGAUGGUCGUAAGAAAUGAAGUUAGCGAUGGGAUAAAUAGAUUUAGGGAGAGUACACUGGCGUUUACCUUUGCGAAGACUAAUGGGAAGGUCAAGGUCGUUUGGAGAAUCAGAUGACGAAGUAGCCGGUGCAGGACAUAUAUCAUUGGUCUCUUGCCUUCUGGAAUAAACGUGGAUAACAGGUGGCUUUACUUGAGUAGGAGGUUGCUCAUUAGAUGUUCCGGGAGAUGUGAGAGAAGCGCCAUCAUCUGAUUGCUCAAUAGGAGCACUUGGAUGUGUGAUUUGGUAGAUUAGCCACUCAUCUUUCUCUCCCUGACUUGUAGAGAUGGAGGGAGAGGAGAAGAAUGGUGUAUUUUCUGAAAAGAUCACAUCAGUAGAAACUAGGUAUUUAUGGAGAUCAGGUGAGUAGCAUCGAUACCCUUUUUGAAGACGAGAAUAUCCUAGAAAAGCACACUUCAAGGCUUUUGGAUCCAGUUUAGUAACGGAUGGCCUUACAUCACGAACGUAACAGGUGCUUCCAAAUACCCGUGGUUCCACUGGAAAUAGUGACUUGUUUGGAAAUAGAAUACUAUAUGGAAUAUCCCCGUUAAGUACUGUAGAUGGCAUGCGAUUAAUCAGAAAACAUGCUGUAGAGACGGCAUCGGCCCAGAACUGCUUAGGAACCUUCGUUUGAAACAGAAGAGCUCGAGCUGUUUCAAGUAGAUGUCUAUUCUUUCUCUCAGCAACUCCAUUUUGAGAAGGAGUAUCAAUACAAGAGGAUUGAUGAAUAAUCCCAUGUUGAGUCAUGUAAGUCUGGAAUGAGUCUGACAUAUAUUCUUUUGCAUUAUCACUUCUUAGUAUAUGCACAGAAGUAUUAAAUUGGGUUUUAAUUUCAGCAUAAAAGGCACAAAAAUGAGAGAACACUUCAGAUCGAUUUUUCAUAAAGUAAAUCCAUGUCAUUCGAGAAAAAUCAUCCACAAAAGUAAUAAAAUAUCUAAACCCAGUUUUAGACACAACAGGACAUGGUCCCCAAACGUCAGAAUGAACCAACUCAAAAGCAGACUCAGCUCGUUUAUUAAUUCUCGGACCUAAUGAGCUACGGUGAUGUUUUGCAAAAUGACAUGGCUCACAAUCUAGUGAAGAUACAUCGUUGAACUGAGGGCAUAGUUUCUUCAAUGUAGACAGAGAUGGAUGUCCCAACUGACAAUGUGCUAUAACUGGGGAGCUGGUACUGGAACAAGCAACUGAUCGAGGCACCCACGUAUCAAGAAUAUAGAGACCAUCAGAUACAUGUCCUUUACCAAUAAUCUGCUUCGUCAUAAGAUCCUGAAAAAGGCAAUGAUCAGGAAAGAAUGAGAUACAACAAUUAAGAUCCUUGGUAAGUCUACUUACAGAGAUCAAAUUAAAAGCAAGUUUUGGUAGACUCAGAACAGAUGACAAGGUAAUAGAGGAAGUUGGUUUAACAGUCCCAGAUCCCACAAUGUUAUAGGUUGACCCAUCAGCUAUGGUAACAGGAGAGGGAGCUUUGUGUGAUCGAAAGCUAGAGAAGGUACUAGAAUUACCUGUCAUGUGAUCUGUGGCUCCUGAAUCAAUUACCCAUUUCUUUGAAGAGGAGAUAAGACAUGUUUUACCUGACUCAGCAAGGGCAGUAACUGGAGGGGAUUCCUUUAGUGAUUCUUGAUACUGAGAGAAUUUGGCAUACUCAUCACCUGAUAUCAUAACAGUUUUCUCAAAAGAUGAACUAGGAGCAGCAGCAACAUUGGCGGUCUGAGUUCUCUGAUUGCGAUUUUGCAAUUUCCUACAGUAUGGCUUGGUGUGGCCUGGUUCAUGGCAGUAGUAGCACACAAUGCUGCUUGAAUCAUAGUUACGGUUAUCAGUAUUCUUGUUUCCUCUUCCCCUAUUGUUGGGCCUCCUUGCAUAGUAAUUUCCCCCUCCUUUGGUAACAAGAACAUUAUUUUGCUGAAUAGGUGAUGUAUUUUCAGUGCGUAGAACUCUACUGAAGACGUCUUGAAGAGAGGGAAUUUCAGAGCUAGAGAGAAUUUGAGAUUUGGAAGUCUCGAAUUCAGGAGGAAGACCAGCCAGGAAGCUCAUAACCGCCAUUUGCUCCCUUUGAAUUUGCUGAAUUUUGACAUCAGUGCUGAAUGGCAAUAGCAUAUUAAGUUCUUCAUACGUCCUUUUGAAGUCCAUGAAAUAAGUUGUGAGGGACUUGGUUUCCUUUUCAGCACGGUAAAAAGCCCUACAAACUUCAUAAAUUCUUGACACAUUUCCUU
RNAcentral lists this long non-coding RNA (2865 nucleotides) under Olea europaea subsp. europaea. Lineage: Eukaryota; Viridiplantae; Streptophyta; Magnoliopsida; Lamiales; Oleaceae. The record is from RNAcentral.